RNAcentral lists this ribosomal RNA (372 nucleotides) under uncultured eukaryote. Its description in RNAcentral is "SSU rRNA". It matches the Rfam family "Eukaryotic small subunit ribosomal RNA", at positions 587 to 972 of the family's 1831-position model. The record is from RNAcentral.
AGCUCCAAUAGCGUAUAUUAUUGAUGUUGCAGUUGAAACGUUCGUAGUCGAAUUUGGUCCACACGGGUUCUCUGUGCACUUUCACGGUGUCAGAGUUACUAUCAAGUGGAGAUUCGCUGCCAUUCUGUUGGGUGUUUCAUUCGAUGUUUGGCAGUGGUACUUUGAGUGAAUCGGCGUGUUCCACGCAGGCACUGUGCCAUGAACGCUUCACCAUAGUAUACCUAGACUGUAAGAGUGCAUUUCCGUCAGCUGAAUUGCAUUCUUGACAGCCAUGAGAACGGUUCAGGGCAUUCGUAUUCAACUGCCAGAGGUGAAAUUCUAUGACUAGUUGAGGACGAACCAUUGCGAAAGCAUCUGCCAGGGACGUUUCUU